GCUAGCCUGAGGUAGUAAGUAUAGGCGGUAGAGCACUGAUCGGGCUAGGGGCCGUAAAGGUUACCGAACCCUGUCAAACUCCGAAUGGAUAUACUGUAGAGCCUUGGAGUCAGACUACGAGUGAUAAGAUCCGUGGUCAAAAGGGAAACAGCCCAGACCACCAGCUAAGGUCCCCAAUGUCGUACUAAGUGGAAAAGGAUGUGGGGUUUCAUAAACAACCAGGAUGUUGGCUCAGAAGCAGCCACCAUUUAAAGAGUGCGUAAUAGCUCACUGGUCGAGAGACCCUGCGCCGAAGAUUCCCGGGGCUAAAGUACGAAACCGAAGCUGUGGCUGUAUACGUAAAGUAUACGGGGUAGGGGAGCGUUCCCAUAGGGUAGAAGUCGAACUGGAAGGUUCGGUGGACUUGUGGGAAGUGAGAAUGUUGGUAUGAGUAGCGAAAAGAAAGGUGAGAAUCCUUUCCACCGAAAGCAUAAGGAUUCCUGAGCAACGAUCGUCGUCUCAGGGUAAGUCGGGACCUAAUCCGAGGCAGAGAGCGUAGGAGAUGGACAACUGGUUGAUAUUCCAGUACCGGUAGUAAUUGUUUGAGCAAUGGAGUGACACAGAAGGGCAGGCAAGCAUGCGAAUGGAAGAGCAUGUGUAAGCGUGUAGGGUGGUGCAUAGGCAAAUCCGUGCACUGAAAGCCUGAGGCGUGAUGCGGAGUGAGCAGAGAUGCGAGCGAAGUUGUUGACCCCACACUGUCGAGAAAAGCUUCUAGUGAGAGAGCUACCGCCCGUACCGUAAACCGACACAGGUAUGCGGGGAGAGAAUCCUAAGGUGCGCGGGAGAACCCUCGUUAAGGAACUCGGCAAAAUGUACCCGUAACUUCGGGAUAAGGGUAGCCACUGUUGUGAAGUCCCAUGCGGAUGGAGCAUAGAGUGGUCGCAGAGAAGAGGCCCAAGCGACUGUUUACCAUAAACACAGGUGCCUGCUAAAGCGAAAGCUGACGUAUAGGUGCUGACACCUGCCCAGUGCCGGAAGGUUAAGGAAGGAUGUUCGGAUUAGUCCAAAGCAUUCGACUGAAGCCCCGGUGAACGGCGGCCGUAACUAUAACGGUCCUAAGGUAGCGAAAUUCCUUGUCGGGUAAGUUCCGACCCGCACGAAAGG
This 1143-nucleotide ribosomal RNA is filed under the name human gut metagenome. RNAcentral's name for it is "bacterial LSU rRNA". It matches the Rfam family "Bacterial large subunit ribosomal RNA", at positions 875 to 1999 of the family's 2925-position model. The record is from RNAcentral.